This 510-nucleotide ribosomal RNA is filed under the name uncultured bacterium. RNAcentral's name for it is "partial 16S ribosomal RNA". It matches the Rfam family "Bacterial small subunit ribosomal RNA", at positions 28 to 507 of the family's 1533-position model. The record is from RNAcentral.
GACGAACGCUGGCGGCGUGCUUAACACAUGCGAGUCGAACGAAGAGCGAUGGAAGCUUGCUUCUAUCAAUCUUAGUGGCGCACGGGUGAGUAACGCGUAAUCAACCUGCCCUUCAGAGGGGGACAACAGUUGGAAACGACUGCUAAUACCGCAUACGAUCUAAUCUCGGCAUCGAGGAUAGAUGAAAGGUGGCCUCUACAUGUAAGCUAUCACUGAAGGAGGGGAUUGCGUCUGAUUAGCUAGUUGGAGGGGUAACGGCCCACCAAGGCGAUGAUCAGUAGCCGGUCUGAGAGGAUGAACGGCCACAUUGGGACUGAGACACGGCCCAGACUCCUACGGGAGGCAGCAGUGGGGAAUCUUCCGCAAUGGACGAAAGUCUGACGGAGCAACGCCGCGUGAGUGAUGACGGCCUUCGGGUUGUAAAGCUCUGUUAAUCGGGACGAAAGGCCUUCUUGCGAAUAGUGAGAAGGAUUGACGGUACCGGAAUAGAAAGCCACGGCUAACUACGUG